This 497-nucleotide ribosomal RNA is filed under the name uncultured bacterium. Its description in RNAcentral is "partial 16S ribosomal RNA". It matches the Rfam family "Bacterial small subunit ribosomal RNA", at positions 28 to 507 of the family's 1533-position model. The record is from RNAcentral.
GAUGAACGCUGGCGGCGUGCCUAAUACAUGCAAGUCGAGCGAACAGACGAGGAUCUUGCUCCUCUGACGUUAGCGGCGGACGGGUGAGUAACACGUGUAUAACCUACCUAUAAGACUGGUAUAACUUCGGGAAACCGGAUCUAAUACCGGAUAAUAUAUUUAACCGCAUUGUUCAAUAGUGAAAUACGGUUUUUCUGUCACUUAUAGAUUGAUCCUCGCCGCAUUAGCUAGUUGGUAAGGUAACGGCUUACAAAGGCAACGAUGCGUAGCCGAACUGAGAGGGUGAGCGGCCAAACGGGAAGUGAGACACGGUCCAGAGUCCUACGGGAGGCAGCAGUAGGGAAUAGUCCGCAAUGGGCGAAAGCAUGACGGAGCAACGCCGCGUGAGUGAUGAAGGUCUUCGGAUCGUAAAACUCUGUUAUUAGGGAAGAACAAAUGUGUAAGUAACUAUGCACGUAUUGACGGUACCGAAUCAGAAAGCAACGGCUAACUACGUG